GUCUAUGGCCAUACUACCCUGAACAAGCCCUAUCCCAUCUGAUCUCGGAAACUAAGCAGGGUCGGGCCUGGUUAGUACUUGGAUGAGAGAUCACCUAGAAAGACCAGGUGCUGUAGAAG
RNAcentral lists this ribosomal RNA (119 nucleotides) under Pteropus alecto (black flying fox). The record is from RNAcentral. Lineage: Eukaryota; Metazoa; Chordata; Mammalia; Chiroptera; Pteropodidae.